This is a non-coding RNA of Musa acuminata subsp. malaccensis (wild Malaysian banana), 138 nucleotides long. NCBI's taxonomy places the organism in Eukaryota, Viridiplantae, Streptophyta, Magnoliopsida, Zingiberales, Musaceae. The record is from Rfam.
GGGACAAGAGUCCCUCUGAUUAGCCAAGGAGACUGCCCAGUGACCCACAUGGAGCUUCUGAAACCCUCAUGCAGCCACCAGGACCUCCAUGAGGACACAGGCAAGUCAUCCUUGGCUACCAAAGACAGACUCUCAUCU